RNAcentral lists this transfer RNA (73 nucleotides) under Lachnospiraceae bacterium. It matches the Rfam family "tRNA". From Rfam's summary of the family: Transfer RNA (tRNA) molecules are approximately 80 nucleotides in length. Their secondary structure includes four short double-helical elements and three loops (D, anti-codon, and T loops). RNAcentral also lists the same sequence under 1 other name. Lineage: Bacteria; Bacillati; Bacillota; Clostridia; Lachnospirales; Lachnospiraceae. The record is from Rfam by way of RNAcentral.
GAGAUACUAGCUCAGUUGGUAGAGCACCUGACUUUUAAUCAGGUUGUCGCGGGUUCGACUCCCGCGUGUCUCA